UAACGCGUGAGAAUCUACCUUCUAGAUGGGGACAACCGUUGGAAACGACAGCUAAUCCCCAAUAAGCCGAGAGGUGAAACGGGUAUCCGCUAGAAGAGGAGCUCGCGUCCGAUUAGUUAGUUGGUGGGGUAAGAGCCUACCAAGGCAGCGAUCGGUAGCUGGUCUGAGAGGAUGAGCAGCCACACUGGGACUGAGACACGGCCCAGACUCCUACGGGAGGCAGCAGUGGGGAAUUUUCCGCAAUGGGCGAAAGCCUGACGGAGCAACGCCGCGUGUGGGAAGAAGGCUCUUGGGCUGUCAACCACUUUUCUCAGGGAAGAAGACCUGACGGUACCUGAGGAAUCAGCCUCGGCUAACUCCGUGCCAGCAGCCGCGGUAAUACGGAGGAGGCAAGCGUUAUCCGGAAUUAUUGGGCGUAAAGCGUCCGCAGGGGGCGCAUCAAGUCUGCUGUUAAAGGUCGGAGCUAAACUCCGGUAGAGCAGUGGAAACUGGUGCGCUAGAGGGCGACAGGGGUAGAGGGAAUUCCCAGUGUAGCGGUGAAAUGCGUAGAGAUUGGGAAGAACACCGGUGGCGAAAGCGCUCUACUGGGUCGCACCUGACCCUCAGGGACGAAAGCUAAGGUAGCGAAAGGGAUUAGAUACCCCUGUAGUCUUAGCCGUAAACGAUGGAUACUAGGCGUGGUUUGUAUCGACCCAAGCCGUGCCGAAGCUAACGCGCUUAGUAUCCCGCCUGGGGAGUACGCACGCAAGUGUGAAACUCAAAGGAAUUGACGGGGGCCCGCACAAGCGGUG
Molecule: ribosomal RNA, 791 nt
Filed under: uncultured organism
Description: bacterial SSU rRNA
Rfam family: Bacterial small subunit ribosomal RNA
Source: RNAcentral